This 530-nucleotide ribosomal RNA is filed under the name Selenops sp. n. 10 SCC-2010. RNAcentral's name for it is "partial 16S ribosomal RNA". The stretch from base 99 to 395 matches the Rfam family "Bacterial large subunit ribosomal RNA", at positions 2074 to 2646 of the family's 2925-position model. Lineage: Eukaryota; Metazoa; Arthropoda; Arachnida; Araneae; Selenopidae. The record is from RNAcentral.
UUUAAAUGAAGACCAGAACAAAAGAUUAAACGUUUAAAUUAAUAUCUAUACUUAAUUAAAUCCAAUUUAUCUUAAAUGUAAAAAGACAUUUAUAAAUAAAAAAGACGACAAGACCCUAUUGAACUUAACUUAAGUUAAACUGGGGCAGUUCAUUAAUAAUAAUUUUAAUGUAUAAAAUAAAAUAAAUUAUCCAAUAUUAUUGACAUGAUCAAGUUACCAUAGGGAUAACAGCGUAAUAAUUUUCUAAAGACCUUAUAAAAAUAAUAGUUUGCGACCUCGAUGUUGAAUUAAUUACCUAAUUAGAGCAAAAGCUAAUUAAGGAAGUCUGUUCGACUUUUAAAAAAUUACAUGAUUUGAGUUCAGACCGGUAUAAGCCAGGUCGGUUUCUAUCUUUUCUUAAAUUCUUGUAGUACGAAAGGGCCUAAGAAACUAAUUUAAUUAAUUAAUUGGCAGAAAAAUGCAUUAGAAUUAGAAUCUAAUAAAACUAAUUUAUACCAUUUAUAUUAUCAUACCUAAUCAUUAUUAUCAGA